UAGGCUUGCGUCUGAUUAGCUAGUUGGUGUGGUAUGGCACACCAAGGCUACGAUCAGUAACUGGUCUGAGAGGAUGAUCAGUCACACUGGAACUGAGACACGGUCCAGACUCCUACGGGAGGCAGCAGUGAGGAAUAUUGGGCAAUGCACGAAAGUGUGACCCAGCAACGCCGCGUGGAGGAUGAAGGUAUCCUAUAUCGUAAACUCCUGUGAGAGCAGACGAAAGACAGAUUAUUAAUUUGGAUGACUGUAUGCUCAGAGGAAGCCCCGGCUAACUACGUG
This 282-nucleotide ribosomal RNA is filed under the name uncultured bacterium. RNAcentral describes it as "partial 16S ribosomal RNA". It matches the Rfam family "Bacterial small subunit ribosomal RNA", at positions 226 to 507 of the family's 1533-position model. The record is from RNAcentral.